GGCUGAGAGAUCAGCUGUUCCCUUCGGGGACAGAAUGACAGGUGGUGCAUGGUUGUCGUCAGCUCGUGUCGUGAGAUGUUGGGUUAAGUCCCGCAACGAGCGCAACCCUUAUGAUCAGUUGCCAGCAUUCAGUUGGGCACUCUGGUCAGACUGCCGGUGACAAACCGGAGGAAGGCGGGGAUGACGUCAAAUCAUCAUGCCCCUUAUGACCUGGGCUACACACGUGCUACAAUGGGUGGUACAACGAGCAGCGAGGCCGCGAGGUCAAGCGAAUCUCUAAAAACCAUCCUCAGUUCGGAUUGCAGGCUGCAACUCGCCUGCAUGAAGCUGGAAUCGCUAGUAAUCGCGGAUCAGCACGCCGCGGUGAAUACGUUCCCGGGUCUUGUACACACCGA
RNAcentral lists this ribosomal RNA (395 nucleotides) under uncultured bacterium. RNAcentral's name for it is "bacterial SSU rRNA". It matches the Rfam family "Bacterial small subunit ribosomal RNA", at positions 997 to 1393 of the family's 1533-position model. The record is from RNAcentral.